UGGAAGUGAUGAAAUAGAGAUCAGUUUGGUGCCAGCAUGCAUGUUGUGAAUGAAGUGUUUAUUUUGAUAUAUUUUGUAUUUAAUUUUUGUGUGUGUAAAAUACUUCUUGCUGUAGUAAGCAUUAGGGAUAGUGUUCUGGUGGGAUGGAACAGGUGAGAGUGUAUGUGUGAUUCAAAUAGGCUGGGAAAAAGGGGGCACUGAAGAUUGAGUAUCUCUGCUGACUUUGGAGUGCAUCUGAGGCCAAUUCUGUGUAAUCUAGAGGCUUUCAUUGUGAAUUGGCUGAUGAUUGGAGCCUCAUAGCAGCUCACCUUAUCAGCCUUGGCAUCCUGCAAUCUCUAGGACAUGCAUUUUUGCAGUGUUCCUGUAAUCUGAUCCAA
Non-coding RNA from Acipenser ruthenus (sterlet), 377 nucleotides. RefSeq annotates it as small Cajal body-specific RNA 7. The record is from RefSeq and is a predicted model, not a curated record. NCBI's taxonomy places the organism in Eukaryota, Metazoa, Chordata, Actinopteri, Acipenseriformes, Acipenseridae. The transcript has a single exon.